RNA transcript from Manihot esculenta (cassava), 4116 nucleotides. It is a transcript of the gene named dual specificity protein kinase YAK1 homolog, with no coding region annotated. NCBI's taxonomy places the organism in Eukaryota, Viridiplantae, Streptophyta, Magnoliopsida, Malpighiales, Euphorbiaceae. The record is from RefSeq and is a predicted model, not a curated record. The transcript is spliced from 19 exons.
AAGAACUCUCCUCUUUGGAGCAAAGCAAGAAAUUUAUAUAAAAGAAUUCUCUCUCUCUCUCUCUUCUUUCUCUCUCUAAACCUCUCUCUAUCUCUUUCCAUAGAACCUCCAACAGUGUCUCUAUUCAUGCAUUAAUCUCUUUUGUUCUUAUUUUACCUUGUCCUUAUUUUUAUUUUUUUAAAUUAUAAUUCUUAAAUUUCAUCUUUUUAUCCUCUCUUGUUAAAAUCUUUUAGUGAUUUUGAUUUUUUUUUCAUCUAUUGCUUUUUUUUUUGUGUUGUUUUGUUAAUCUAUCAAGAGCAAAUAGUGAUCGCUUCAUAUCCAAUUCAAAGCUGAAUCUUGUUUAUUUUUGAUGGAUCAAGUAAUGGGAUUUUGUGCUUUUGACUUCAUGUGAGUGAAUGAGAGAGAUAUGGGAUUAGAAUCUGUUGGUGGGUUCUUCCACUUCUUUGUUCAACCGCAAUUGGGUGUUCUAACUGGACUGUCCAUUACCUGAUCAAUCUGAAUUUUCUGGUGGCGCUGCUUGUGUUGAUUCAUUUGGCAAUGGAGCAAUUCCGGAUAGGAGUUUGAUUAUUGGGGUUUCUUUGCCCUUUUUGUUCUUUUUUAUUUUGGUAGUCAAUGGAUGAGCUGACCACUAAUGAAGCUCAAGAAUGGGAAGCGUCUUCACAACGGUGGCGGCCCAGGCAGCUAGCAUUUAAGACGUAUACGUCGGGCAGUGAACCUGCGUACAAGGCAGAAACUUUGAGGGUUGUAGUGAGAAGACCUUUUGUGGCAAGACUGACCAAAGACAUAGUUGAGACAUAUCAAAUAUGCAAUCCCCAGUUCAAGUAUUCUGAAGAAUUAAAUCCAAAAAGAUAUUUGACCAGCCCAUCAAUUGGCGUCCUGAAUGAUGGUUAUGACAAUGUGAACUCUGAUCUGAUUCUGACUGUAAACUUUGCCUUGGUCAAUCUAGAGACACAACGAAGAUACAUUGUCAAAGAUGUUCUUGGCCAUGGAACUUUUGGGCAGGUGGCUAAAUGCUGGGUUGCAGAAACCAACAGUUUUGUUGCUGUGAAGAUUAUUAAAAAUCAACCAGCUUACUAUCAGCAAGCUUUGGUUGAAGUAUCCAUUUUGACAACGUUAAACAAGAAGUAUGAUCCUGAAGAUAAGCACCACAUUGUUCGCAUCUAUGAUUAUUUUGUAUUUCAGCGGCAUUUGUGCAUUUGCUUUGAACUGCUUGACACAAACCUGUACGAGCUUAUUAAGAUAAAUCAAUUCAGGGGUCUAUCACUGAGCAUUGUCCAAUUGUUCUCUAAACAGAUCUUACAUGGAUUGGCUCUACUAAAAGAUGCUGGAAUAAUUCAUUGUGAUUUGAAGCCUGAAAAUAUUCUUCUAUGCACAAGUGUGAAGACAGCAGAAAUUAAAAUAAUUGACUUUGGAUCAGCUUGCAUGGAGGAUCGUACUGUUUACUCUUACAUCCAGAGUCGUUACUACAGGUCGCCUGAAGUCCUUCUUGGGUAUCAAUAUACUACUGCUAUUGACAUGUGGUCCUUUGGGUGCAUAGUUGCAGAACUGUUUCUUGGAUUGCCGCUCUUCCCUGGGGCUUCAGAAUUUGAUCUUUUGAGGAGAAUGGUUGAAAUACUUGGUGGACAACCCCCCGAUAAUCUACUAAAGGAGGCAAAAAAUACAAGCAAGUUCUUUAAGUGCAUUGGAAAUGUCCACAAUGCAGGCGAUGGUGAAGUUUCUUUUGAUGGCAAAAGUGCUUACCAAGCAUUAACCGUGGAAGAAUAUGAAGCUAGGGAAUUGAAGAAACCAUCUAUCGGAAAGGAGUAUUUCCAUCACAUGAACCUUGAGGCAAUUGUUAAGAACUAUCCUUACAGAAAGAAUCUGCCACAUGAAGAUAUUAUGAAAGAGAGUCGAGUACGAUUAGCUUUGAUUGAUUUCUUAAGAGGGCUUGUUGAGUUUGAUCCUGCAAAGAGGUGGUCCCCUUUUCAGGCUUCAAAACACCCUUUUGUAACAGGGGAGCCUUUCACCUGCCCCUACAAGCCUCCUCCAGAGACUCCUCGCAUGCCUGUUGCUCAACAUUUUAAGGUGGACCAUCACCCGGGCGGUGGGCAUUGGUUUGCUGCUGGUCUCUCUCCUAAUAUUCCGGGCAGGACGAGAAUAUCCCUUCAUAAUAGUCCACAUUUUCAAGUGGUUCCCUAUGCACAUGGCAAUAGUUAUGGAAGUAUAGGAAGCCAUGGUAGUUACAAUGAUGGUAUCGGCCUUGGAAGCAGUUAUGGGAGUUACGGGGAUAGCAGUAAUAUGUUUGCAUACUAUUCACCAGUUGGUCCUUCUGGGAUGAACAUGCAUGCACAAGCUGGUCUGUCGAUGCUUGGGAGUAGUCCAGAUGCAAGACUGAGGUUUAUUCAGUAUUCACAUCCAAAUGGAAUUGGUAUGAGUCCAUCGACAGGAAAUUUUGCGCCACUCCCGCUUGGCACCAGUCCGUCACAAUUCACUCCGCCAAAUUCAUACAAUCAAGUUUCUACCGGUUCUCCAGGACAUUAUGGUCCAACUUCACCAGCAAGAAGCAACUGUCAUGGAUCACCUUUAGGAAAAAUGGCUGCUGUUACCCAAUUCAAUAGAAGGAAAGGUUGGGGGCAUUCUUCCCAUUCUCAAGAGAGUACGCCAUCUUCGCAUUGGCAAGGACACCAUUCUGAUGGUACCAGUGCUUUCCAAGCUGAGGGAAAUCCUUCAGUACUUGGAAGUUCAACUUCACAUUGGCAAUCAAAUUCAAGCGUAGCAAAUUGGAUGCAGCAGCAUGGAGGUAGUGGAACUUCUACUGGUCAUUCUGCCAUCCAGAAUAUGCCUGGCUCUUUCAAGCCUUCUAAUAUGCAGCUCUCUCAAAGUGUGGGGCCAGCUCAUGAUAAGCCUGAGGCUAGCCUGUCAUUGCCAGAUCCAGGGGAUUGGGAUCCCAAUUACAGUGAUGAGCAGCUUCUACAAGAAGAUGGUUCAGAGGCCAGCUCCAUAACCAUUGAGUUCAGCAAAGCCAUGCAUCUUGGUUCAGGUGAUCCAUCGGGUGGUUUUGGAAGAUCUAACCGGACUUCAAACUGGAGCUCUAAUUCAUUGGUUCAAAGACAAAAUGGACCUAUUCAAGCAUUUACAAACGUGGAGGUUGGCAGCCCUCCUUCAGCUCAUGAUAUGCAUGCUGGAUAUGGUCGUUCAGCGUCAAAGCAUUCUCAUUUCAUGCCUCAUAUUUCACAAAACUCGCCAAGCCGUUUAGGACAGCAAUCUCUUCCGCGCUUCAAUCAUGUGAGACCUGCUGUUCGGGGUAGUGAAUGGAAUCAUAUCAAGAUCCAGCCCCCUCAGUCCAGUUUUAAUUCUGGGGCCCCCCUUUCUCCAGGAAAUAGUUCACUCAACAACGGCAUGCCAUGGGGGCGUAGGGCUAAUCAUCCUGUCACAAGCACUCUACCAGGAUCCCGAGGGAGAAAAGACUACGGACGGCUUGCCUAGUUUCAGCUUAGUUUUCUUUCUUUGAGGCUUAUGUUUUGAGUGUUGGAAAGAAAGUUGUACUCGAUGGUUCACAAGCCUAGUGGACUGAUGCUAAGAAAAUCCUCACCCAGACAUGUUCAUUCAUUGUGCUUGCAUAAAUAUAAUUCAUGGAAUCUGAUCUGGUUAUUAAGGUGUAAUUUGCUGCUGCUUUGAAGAAUUUGUGUGGAGUCAAGGGCAAAGGUGACAACGGGAGUAUUCAGCAGUUCAUAUGUUUUCCAAUUACUCAUCAUGUUGAUUUGUUGAACCUCAUACUUGAUAUUAUUGUUGUAAAGCUUAGAAAAGGUGGGACAGGGUGCAGUUUUUGUUUGGUUGACAGUUUCUUUUGAAAUUGCUGAACCCCUCGUACUUAUGGGUUUUUGGAUCCUUUGAACUGUAAGAUUCAUGCUUGGGUGUUCAGUUUAUCAGUAAGAACAGAAUGUAGAAUUUAGGAACAGCUUUCUUGCCUAGCAAAAUCUGUAUGAAAAGGGAGGUACCUAAUGCACCAGGAAAAGAUUGUUUGUUCAUUUGGCUGGUAGCAUCCUCAAACAUAGAAUGAGAAUAUGCCAUUUGCUUGAGCUGUAAUAGUGGUUUUUAUAAUCUUCAAUGGGUAUCUGAGGUUGUCUGCCAUUUGAC